Neogale vison (American mink) is the source of this 413-nucleotide long non-coding RNA. RefSeq lists it as uncharacterized. The transcript is spliced from 4 exons. The record is from RefSeq and is a predicted model, not a curated record. NCBI's taxonomy places the organism in Eukaryota, Metazoa, Chordata, Mammalia, Carnivora, Mustelidae.
UCGGCGGAAGAAGCUGCGUUUUCUUUUCCGCGCGGCCACCGAAGGAUGAGGGUGUGUGAGGUCCCGUCGGGCAAGCGGGCCGGGUGGCAGCGUCCGAGGGCCAGUCGCAGGGCUCUUCGAGGUGCAGCAGAGCCUAUGAGGUGAAGAUGAAUGAAGGUCAUCCUGAUGAUUUCCAGAAACUGCUCACAGGAUGGCUGUGAUAAAACCACUAGGAGCACAACUGCAUGUAAUGAGCAUAUAGGUAGCUGCAGAUGAAUAUUCAAGUCCAAAACUGUCAUGGUCAAAAUUCAUUGCCUCAGAGGCAUGCAGUUGGAAGGAAAAAUGAAGAGUUGGUCAAGAAGACAUGAAACAGAUAAUAAAAUUAAUAUUUUAUUUAAAAUUGAUCACCUUACAAUAAAUGAUGUAGAAAAAUA